Long non-coding RNA from Cryptotermes secundus, 2556 nucleotides. RefSeq lists it as uncharacterized. Lineage: Eukaryota; Metazoa; Arthropoda; Insecta; Blattodea; Kalotermitidae. The record is from RefSeq and is a predicted model, not a curated record. The transcript is spliced from 2 exons.
ACAGGGCUGGUGUGUGUCAUUCCUUUGGGUCUGGACGGAACAUGAUGCUGAUGGAUUAUCAGACUGGCAAGAUGAUGGUGCAGCAGUGUCUUGUUUGAAAAUGAGCUCUCUCUCCACAUCCAUGAGGGGCUGAAGUGACUGGUGGUCUUCCAUGUUCAUUGGACAUAUGCACAGGAAGAUCUUGCAGAGUUAAUAGAAACUUAAGGGGGAAGAUGACUUUUCAGCAGGCUUAUAAAGAGGUGAUCCAAGGCCUGAGAGGGAACAAUGUGCAGGGAACUGAAAUACAGUGAAACCCUCAUCAGUGCUCUUUGACCUAAGAUUAACCUUAGGUAACAUUCGGUUUUGAUGACGUGUCAGUAACCUCGUUGUUAAAUUACAUGCAUGCAAGAAUCCACUUCAUGGAAAAGAGACCUUGAAUGGGAGAUUCACUGUAUGCAGACCUGCAUCUGUAUGCCAUUGUAUCCAUCACCACUCACAGAAACAUGCCUCUCCAUAUGUCAGGGGAAGUCUGGAUGAGGAUUUCCAGCACUGGAAGAAGUGCAGCAGUUGCAUAAGGGGUUCAUCUGCCAGCGCUACAGACGGUGCGAUGGGUAAACUACCUCAUUGUUUUCUGCCACAAGAUACCGGUCUUGCAACUAGCCUUAGAAAUGUAUGUCUGAUAAAUAUAGAUUAAUAUCCCUGUAGGUAUCAUCAUUAUGAUGCUUGAAGUGUGAGUUGGUCUAAAUGAAUGACCUGUGUUUGAAUUAUAUGUAAGAAAUUUAAUUUAUUUUGUCCAGAAGAAAAAUUUGUACAGGAGGUGGGGUGGGGGGAGGCAGGUUUCAUUUAGAGGGCAAAGGAAAAAACCGAUUUCAGCCUAGUGCAAUAUGUCAGUAUUGAGGGCAGAAGUAUAUGCCAAUAACCCUGUUUGGGCAAAGUUUUCGGACAGCUUCAGACAAAAUGCGGCUUAAAGGACGUAUAUGUACACAUGUAACUUAACCUAGGUAACUCAUAACAGAAAGUACUUUAACUUAAUGUAACCUUCCUAAUCUAACUUCUAACAGAAACUAACAAAACUAACCUGAGCUAACAUGUCAAGAAACAUACAUGUACGUCCAUAGAACAGAAAGGGUCAAGGUGUGUAUAGUUACUGCCAUAAGCUUUAUGAAUUUAGCCUAUUGGUUUAUAUGAGGUUCACUCUGCACUAUACCUCACCAUCCAUAGGAGUAACAUAGUGAGCAUUUCUUUUGCUAGAGUCAAGGUCAGUAUAAUGUAAUAGAAGUGGUCCCAUUUUAGGAGAAGAGAUUGUAUAUAGACCUGACAUGUUGAAAAAGAUGUCUUGGCACCAAUUGUGUGGUUGUGUGGAUACUGAUAAGGACAUCUUAUGGUGAUUAUUACUGUGGUGAAGGAGGGGUUGUGUGCUUUGAUGUUGCGAUAUGUUAAGUGUAAUGCCAAAACUUGUACUUGACAUUGUAUUGCUUAUUUUGAUGUAUGUGCCGCUGGCUGGCUAUCAUUGUUUGAUAGGUCUUGCAAAGUGCUAUGUAUGUGGAUUCUAAUUUUGUUAUUGCUGUUUGGAAAAUAUUUCAACAUACCUGUAGACAGAAAUAUGUUUGUCGCCAAAUGACAUAAUGGGACAUGGCCAAAAUCAUUGUCAGUUUGUCAGUUAUGAAACGAAUGUCCCGCAUAUCAGAUAUUGAAUUGAUUUGUGUUAAGGCCAGGAGAAUUCACUGAUUGACUGUUGUUAUAACUACAUGAAUUUCUGUUCUACUUGCUGCCUCGGUGGCAGAGCAUAUGGAUUGUGUAUGUUACCAGUUUUCGUUAAUGUUGAUAGUAUCAUGUAAUAUUUAUUGUAAUGGUGUGAAUGCAGUUUCUGAAGACAUGAGCUAUCAGUGUAUUUUCCAUCAAGAUAUGUAUAUUUUUUUUAUAAUUGUGUAUUGCUAUGUCUCUGUUCUAUUUGAACACAAUUGUGAAUAUGAUCACCAGCAGUCCACAGAGUUGUGUGAGUGCUGAGGUAUUUGGAAAUGUGCAGUAAAUCAGAUAUCUGCAUAUUGUGGAUGGAAGGACAUCUCUACCACCAUCUUGACUUCAUCAUGUGAUGUGUGGAGGUGAUGGAGAUGGUGGAAGUCAUGGUGGAGGGGAUGAUGGUGGUGGUGGUGAUGAUGACCAGUGAAUGUUGACGUGUGGAAAGAUUUGCACAGUGAGGAUGUAGAUCACUGGACAGACUAUAUUGCACUCACAUAUCUGUAUACUGCGACAUUUUUACAGCCGUAAUUGAGGGAUGUCUAGAGGCAAUAGUAUGAAGAUGUAGUUGAAUUAAUCUGUUUGGUAAAAGAAAAGAAGUGUUACUUUUCAGCAUGCCAUCCUGUUGAAGGGCUGGUUAGUUUUCAGGAAUGUUGCCAUGUUGUGUGUGAGGUUCUUGAUCUGUGUGAAUGUUGAACUCGGGCCUUGAAGGCUUGUGUAGAAGCAUUCUGUUUGAAUGUAUUGAUGGCAAUGUAUUGUAUUGAAUUGUGACAUGUAUAAAGUGCUGGAUUAAUUUGUUUGUGCAGUGUUUGUAAGCAAUACAAGAGUCUUCUCUUUGAA